Long non-coding RNA from Ctenopharyngodon idella (grass carp), 2385 nucleotides. RefSeq lists it as uncharacterized. The record is from RefSeq and is a predicted model, not a curated record. Lineage: Eukaryota; Metazoa; Chordata; Actinopteri; Cypriniformes; Xenocyprididae. The transcript has 3 exons.
UUUACUGAACUGCAAUUCAACACAGCUAAUGCAUUCUGAAAACGAAGUGUUCUACUUAUCCAUCCAUCCAUCAAUCCAUCCAUCCAUCGGAUCAUUUCAAACAGUGUCAUAAUGAAGGUUAAAAAUAAUCGUUUUUCUGCAUUUAUAUGUUUGUGUGUGUGUGUUUGUAAAAAACUUUAUUACCAUUAUAAGUGAACCUCAAGGAACACAUUAAAAUAAUAAUUAAAAAAACAAAAAAAAAACAUGUCUUUAAAUAAUGAUAAAAACGAAAACCAACUCACACAUAUAGUCUCAGCAGACCUGCAGGAUUUUCUUUAUUCCACAAAGGUGAUUAUUCAAAAUUGCUGAAUGAGGAGCUCCAAUGUUUUCAUUUCAAAGCAUGUAAAAUAAUGCAGAGACAUCACUCUCUAACAAUCAUAUGCCUGAUCUACUAGUUACCCAAUUACUGUAUCUUUUAAGGACUGAUUUAGCAGUUUAUGUCAGCUUCAUACCUCCUUCUCACACACCAGACAAGUUGUGAAAUAAUAAAAAAAACAAAACCACUUUUUUGAGUCAUUUCUGAAUCUGUUGCUCACAGAAGAUUUGUAUUUUAGUGUUUGGAAGUGAGUGAAAAUUAAAAUUUGGGAAAGAGAUUUUGUCUCUUAACAUUCAUACACUGAGGCUUCGCUCACAAAAAUGAAGGUGGAUAAAUGCUUCAUGCUCAGUGUUGAGAAGGUUUAAAAUAUAUCCAUCUGUCUGUCAUUCUAACUUUCAAAUCAAGGCUUUGUCAACCAGUUUGUCUUGACACACUUUCCUUUUUUAGUUAUAUGAUAUAUAUUUCUUUUUAUUUUACUAUAAUUCUACUUCCUUGCAUUCAAAUUAUAAUUGUAAUUUCAAUGCAAAUUCAAUUUAAAUUCAUGAACUGAAAUGCAAGCCAUUCUCAAUUCAGUUCCAAAAGAUGUACAACUGUGUUACAUUUUUACAUUUUCUUAAGAAAAAUAUCAAUAUAACUCAACUGACACUCAACUAACUCAUCAUGAUGCUAAACUUUUGUGGGUGGUUGCUAGGGAGUUAGGGAGUUUCUAAGGUGUUCUGAGUGGUCGUUAGGUAGUUUCAAAUGAUCUUGUCUGAAAUGAAUCCUGCACUCAAGUCUCAGUGAUCUUCUGCUCUGUAGAUGUGGUUUGCAUCUCUCUUUCAGUGUGCACCUGUGGGAUUUUUUCACCUGUUUUAUGGUCCAUCAGGUGAAAAUGUUUUUAUUACUUAGAAAAAAAAAAAAUGUACAAAACACCAACCGUAACUAUGAUCAACAAGUGAUGCUUACCUUAGUAAACACCACUAAACAAUGACUCAAAAAGCUAAAGAAGGAAUGACUGACAGAUUAUACAGUCUACCAUCAUAGUCAAAAACAUGAACUCAUCAAACCAAACCCUGUCCCUCCAGACAACCCGUCAAACACCCCCACAUUAGAAACACUCAAAGAGAGAAACAGCUUUAAAUGAUUACAGCUCAAACUCGGACUCACAGUUCAACCAGCCUGCUAUCAGAGUGACAGAGAAGGAAAGGAAAUGAAGGAUGAGGAAGUGGCGGUAGCAUUCCUGUGGUGAUGGAGGGAUGAUGAGCUGCUCCUUGUGGCAACACUAAUACUGCAAGACAAUGCAACUUGACUUUAUGGGAACACAAACUCUCAAGCUUCAUUAAAAAGCUCUUCACUUGUGUUUUGAAGAUGAACGAAAAUCUUACGGGUUUGGAACGACAUGAGGCACAGCAGAUCAUGUCAGCACACGGGGGUCUUUGCGGUUCUGCCUGACCCUGUUCAUGAGCUCCACUCAUCCGCUGCUAAUGGGGAGCACAUUUUUCAUGGGACUGGUAUGCGGCCCAGAUGAGGGGGGUCAGGAAACAGCUGGUGACGCAGCAGUCAUAGAGCGAUCCAUCCGUCCCAACGACUCGAUUUCACUCCUGACAGUCCUAUCGCAGAUACUGCAUACACUCAUGCCUUACUCACACGCAUGACUAAUAACAGCCUGUUCCGGAAAAACUGGACAGAAACUCCUCAUGACACAACAAUGAGUUAAAUGAGAACCGCAUGAGUAAUGGGACUUUCUAGGAGCCCGUGCCAUGAAGGUUCUGCACCAGCGCAUUAGCAUACGAGAGCUUUGGAAACUGAGAUCAGCUGUUGAACAUCUGUGUGACUUACAGCCCAGACUGAUCGAAAUAUAUACAAAGUCCUACGCUUCAGAUAACUGUCAGUGCCAAUGAACUACAUCUGGCUCUGACUUCUACAAAUGUUUGGGUUGCGGUGCACUAUAUACCUUAUUUCAAUGCCAUUUUUACAAUUCUCCCUAUCUAUAUAGAUGGAAUUACAGCUAUAAAUAUAUAUCCUGGAUGGAUAAAUGCAUGGAUGGAUGA